Molecule: transfer RNA, 73 nt
Filed under: Camelus bactrianus (Bactrian camel)
Lineage: Eukaryota; Metazoa; Chordata; Mammalia; Artiodactyla; Camelidae
Also listed under: 2 other names
Rfam family: tRNA
About the family: Transfer RNA (tRNA) molecules are approximately 80 nucleotides in length. Their secondary structure includes four short double-helical elements and three loops (D, anti-codon, and T loops).
Source: Rfam by way of RNAcentral
GAGGGUGUAGCUCAAGUGGUAGAGUGCAUGCUUAGCAGGCACGAGGUCCUGGGUUCAAGUCCCAGGACUUCCU